This is a long non-coding RNA of Oncorhynchus keta (chum salmon), 1498 nucleotides long. RefSeq lists it as uncharacterized. The record is from RefSeq and is a predicted model, not a curated record. The transcript is spliced from 3 exons. Lineage: Eukaryota; Metazoa; Chordata; Actinopteri; Salmoniformes; Salmonidae.
GGAUUUAUUCAAUAGUCCAGUUGGGGGCGAUAAUGCAAAAUAUUGGUUGACACACACCAAUAAAGUCAACUGAAGAAGAAAAAGCAGAACAAUUUUGUCUUUACAAAUAUUUUCCUGUUUGUGAGAUAAUUUACUUGUUCUCUGUAAUAUCGUAUAGAUUUGGAAUCGUGACAUUAUCUACGGUGGAGGAAAAUAUGCAGGUUUCUCGACUCAUUCCCUGACUAUGAGAAGGGAUUGAGUGACGAUUCGUUUAGCAAACCUUGUGACCCAGCAUGACACCGUGAACAAGAUUGGUCGACCGUCUGCUGGAUCCGAAGCAAGAUACAUUGUCGCCAUGUUUCGUGUUUCGUUAAGGACUCAGAGUGCCCUUCCUGCGGAAGGAAAUGUCGACUCCCCGAACACUUAAAACAAAGUAACUGUACUACUGUAGCCAACACAAUUAGAAAAUAAGACAGGCGAAGAAAUACAUUGUUUCAACAAUGGAUCCGGAAAUGACUGGUAUAAUAAACUAGCCGGAGCGAAAAGGCAGAGGCUGGAUUUCGAAAAGGUCGAGGCUGGAUCUCGCUCCAUGCUCCAGGCAAAUUGGGCAUGCUCCGCUCUUCAGUCCGCUCUAGCUCCUUUCUGCUCACAAACUCUGGUGCAUAAGAUGCUGUGUAUUUUAACAUAUUAAAACAAAAGAGAUCAAUAAUAUUUGUCCAGCAUUUGCUGCUGUUUGCAGAUGUGCAUAAUAUGCUGCGAUCCUAAUUCAAAAGCAUUUAAUAACUCCAAAUAACAAAAACGUAGCUAUAGGUUGUUGUAGCAUUUACACUUAAAACAUGUUUUUCAUUUUUUGCACUGCAUGGGUCAUUGGUACAUUUCCAUGACAUAGACUGACCAGAUGAAUCCGGUUGAAAGCUAUGAUCCCUUAUUGAUGUCACUUGUUAAAUCCACUUCAAUCAGAGUAGAUGAAGAGGAGGAGACAGGUUAAAGAAGGAUUUUUAAGCCUUGAGACAAUUGAGACAUGGAUUGUGUAUGUGUGCAAUUCAGAGGGUGAAUUGGCAAGACAAAACAAAAGAUUAAAGUGCCUUUGAAUGGGGUAUGAUAGUAGGUGCCAGGCGCACCGGUUUGAGUGUGUCAAGAACUGCAACGCAGCUGGGUUUUUCAUGCUCAACAGUUUCCCGUGUGAAUCAAGAAUGGUCCACCACCCAAAGGACAUCCAGCCAAUUUGACACAACUGUGGGAAGCAUUGGGAGUCAACAUGGGCCAGCAUCCCUGUAGAAUGCUUUCGACACCUUGUAGAGUGUAUACUAAGAAUGAUAAUCAAAUCAAAUCAAAUGUAUUUGUCACAAACACAUGGUUAGCAGAUGUUAAUGCGAGUGUAGCGAAAUGCUUGUGCUUCUAGUUCUGACAAUGCAGUAAUAACCAACGAGCAAUCUAACCUAACAAUUCCAAAACUACUACCUUAUACACACAAGUGUAAAGGGAUAAAGAAUAUGUACUUAAAGAUAUAUGAAUGAGU